Molecule: non-coding RNA, 83 nt
Organism: Podarcis lilfordi (Lilford's wall lizard)
Lineage: Eukaryota; Metazoa; Chordata; Lepidosauria; Squamata; Lacertidae
Source: the annotation of a GenBank genome assembly
GCAGAACAGGUUCCACUCAAGCAUGUUGGUAGAGCAUGAGACUUUAAAUCUCAGGGUUGUGGGUUCGAGCCCCACAUUGGGCA